Molecule: transfer RNA, 71 nt
Filed under: Rattus norvegicus (Norway rat)
Lineage: Eukaryota; Metazoa; Chordata; Mammalia; Rodentia; Muridae
Rfam family: tRNA
About the family: Transfer RNA (tRNA) molecules are approximately 80 nucleotides in length. Their secondary structure includes four short double-helical elements and three loops (D, anti-codon, and T loops).
Source: Rfam by way of RNAcentral
GGGGAUUUAGCUCAGUGGUAGAGAGCGCUUGCCUAGCAAGCGCGAGGCCCUGGGUUCGGUCCCCAGCUCCU